This 95-nucleotide non-coding RNA is filed under the name Legionella shakespearei DSM 23087. Lineage: Bacteria; Pseudomonadati; Pseudomonadota; Gammaproteobacteria; Legionellales; Legionellaceae. The record is from RNAcentral.
AAGCCUGCAAUAGAGCAGGAAACCUUAAGCUCUGCAUAAAUCUCCAUUGUGCGUAUUGGUCGUGGCUCAAGAUACGGGAUGUCGUUACCUGUACU